Molecule: ribosomal RNA, 465 nt
Filed under: Vreelandella stevensii
Lineage: Bacteria; Pseudomonadati; Pseudomonadota; Gammaproteobacteria; Oceanospirillales; Halomonadaceae
Description: partial 16S ribosomal RNA
Rfam family: Bacterial small subunit ribosomal RNA
Source: RNAcentral
CCUACGGGCGGCUGCAGUGGGGAAUAUUGGACAAUGGGGGGAACCCUGAUCCAGCCAUGCCGCGUGUGUGAAGAAGGCCCUCGGGUUGUAAAGCACUUUCAGUGAGGAAGAACGCCUGGUGGUUAAUACCCAUCAGGAAAGACAUCACUCACAGAAGAAGCACCGGCUAACUCCGUGCCAGCAGCCGCGGUAAUACGGAGGGUGCGAGCGUUAAUCGGAAUUACUGGGCGUAAAGCGCGCGUAGGUGGCUUGAUAAGCCGGUUGUGAAAGCCCCGGGCUCAACCUGGGAACGGCAUCCGGAACUGUCAAGCUAGAGUGCAGGAGAGGAAGGUAGAAUUCCCGGUGUAGCGGUGAAAUGCGUAGAGAUCGGGAGGAAUACCAGUGGCGAAGGCGGCCUUCUGGACUGACACUGCCACUGAGGUGCGAAAGCGUGGGUAGCAAACAGGAUUAGAUACCAUAGUAGUC